CAACUUCGCCCCAGAACUUAGAUUCUUGUUUCUCGAAAGGGUAGGAAGGAAAUUCUUUCUCCAAGCUUGUAAGAUUGUCCCAAAAUCCAUAAUCACCAUCUCCGAAAUCCAACAUGACUUCUGCAUCAGCGGCAGCCUUUCGAAAAUUAUUCAUCAGUUGAACAGUCUUCGAUGGCAACACAGCAUCAACAAGAUUGUUUUUGGCUUUGGUGCACGCACUGGAAUUGACUUCUGCAACAGAAGCAGCCUUUCGAAAAUUACUCAUCACUUGAACAUUCUUCGAUGGCAACACAGCAUCAACAAGAUUGUUUUUGGCUUUGGUGCACGCACUGGAAUUGACUUCUGCAACAGAAGCAGCCUUUCGAAAAUU
Molecule: long non-coding RNA, 370 nt
Filed under: Capsicum annuum
Lineage: Eukaryota; Viridiplantae; Streptophyta; Magnoliopsida; Solanales; Solanaceae
Description: long non-coding RNA (CANN_LNC003690)
Source: RNAcentral